This is an RNA transcript of Lagenorhynchus albirostris (white-beaked dolphin), 5054 nucleotides long. It is a transcript of the gene named zinc fingers and homeoboxes 1, with no coding region annotated. The transcript has 6 exons. NCBI's taxonomy places the organism in Eukaryota, Metazoa, Chordata, Mammalia, Artiodactyla, Delphinidae. The record is from RefSeq and is a predicted model, not a curated record.
CACGGCGGCCCCUGCAGGAGAUGGCAGAUAGGUACUUUGGACCUGUUGGUAAUGAUGGCCUGAGCUAAACAUCUCCUAAUUUGAGGGGACACCCUUCUGUGUCAAAGAACAGAAUGCGAAGGAAGCUAUGGCAAGUGAUUGGAGUUGUGCUUCAAAAAUUUCAGCAGUUCAGCAGUAUUUUAUUUGCCAACCAUAAGCUCUUUACUUGAUAGCACCAUGAAAAAGCUGCUAAUGAGACUUGUUGAGCACAAAGACAGACUUGAAGAACCAAAAGCCAUUGUUUUCAAAUGAAGAAUACUGAACAGUUUUAAGCCCCAAUGCUUUUUAAUCACCACUGAGAUUUCCCCCAUAACAUCAGAAUGGCAAGCAGGCGAAAAUCCACAACACCCUGCAUGGUCCUUGCCAGCGAACAGGAUCCAGACCUCGAGCUGAUAUCAGAUUUGGAUGAAGGUCCUCCUGUACUUACACCUGUAGAAAACACCAGAGCAGAGAGUAUCUCAAGUGAUGAAGAAGUUCAUGAAUCCGUAGACUCUGACAAUCAGCAAAAUAAAAAAGUUGAAGGUGGCUAUGAAUGUAAAUAUUGUACUUUUCAAACUCCAGAUCUAAAUAUGUUUACUUUUCAUGUGGAUUCAGAACAUCCCAAUGUAGUGCUAAAUUCAUCCUAUGUUUGUGUCGAAUGCAAUUUUCUUACCAAAAGGUAUGAUGCACUUUCCGAGCAUAAUCUGAAAUAUCACCCGGGAGAAGAAAAUUUCAAGUUGACUAUGGUGAAACGAAAUAACCAGACAAUCUUUGAACAAACAAUAAAUGAUCUGACUUUUGAUGGCAGUUUUGUUAAAGAGGAGAAUUCAGAGCAAGCUGAAUCGACAGAAGUUUCUUCUUCGGGAAUAUCUAUCAGUAAAACUCCUAUCAUGAAAAUGAUGAAAAAUAAAGUGGAGAACAAACGGAUUACAGUUCAUCAUAAUUCAGUUGAGGACGUUCCGGAAGAGAAAGAGAAUGAAAUCAAACCAGACCGUGAAGGAACUGUGGAAAAUCCAAGUUCUUCAGCUUCUGAAUCGAAUACAAGUACUUCCAUUGUAAACAGAAUACAUCCAAAUACUGCCAGCACAGUUGUGACCCCGGCAGCAGUUCUUCCUGGGUUAGCACAGGUUAUCACUGCUGUAUCAGCUCAGCAGAAUUCCAAUUUGAUUCCCAAAGUCCUCAUCCCUGUUAAUAGCAUUCCUACCUACAAUGCUGCAUUGGAUAACAACCCCCUUUUGCUUAACACCUACAACAAAUUCCCUUAUCCAACAAUGUCAGAAAUUACUGUUCUUUCUGCCCAAGCAAAAUAUACGGAGGAACAGAUCAAGAUAUGGUUUUCAGCCCAACGUCUAAAACAUGGUGUUAGCUGGACUCCCGAGGAAGUAGAGGAGGCGAGAAGAAAACAAUUCAACGGAACAGUCCACACUGUACCUCAGACCAUAACUGUCAUCCCCACCCACAUUUCCACAGGGAGUAAUGGUUUACCAUCCAUCUUACAGACAUGCCAAAUAGUUGGCCAGCCAGGUCUGGUCCUUACCCAAGUGGCUGGCACGAAUACCUUGCCAGUAGCAGCACCUAUAGCCUUGACAGUGGCAGGGGUUCCAAAUCAAACAAACGCACAGAAAAGUCAGCUCCCAGCCGCUCAGCCUACUGCAGAGACCAAGCCAGCAGCAGCAGGAGCCCCAUCCUCUCAGCUUGUAAAAAAUGAGACUGCAGUGGCGAACCCUGAUGCGUUCGGCGUUCGGGCAAAAAAGACUAAAGAGCAACUGGCAGAAUUAAAAGUUAGCUACCUAAAGAAUCAGUUUCCCCAUGAUUCCGAAAUUAUCAGACUUAUGAAAAUCACAGGGCUGACAAAAGGAGAGAUUAAAAAAUGGUUUAGUGACACAAGGUACAACCAGAGAAAUUCAAAGAGUAAUCAGUGCUUACAUCUCAACAAUGAUUCCUCCGCCACUAUUAUCAUAGACUCCAGUGAUGAAACCACGGAAUCCCCAACUGUUGUUACUUCACAGCAGAAACAAUCCUGGAAUCCUUUUCCAGACUUUACUCCCCAAAAGUUUAAAGAGAAGACGGCAGAGCAGCUUCGUGCCCUACAGGCAAGUUUUCUCAACAGCUCCGUACUUACAGAAGAAGAAUUAAAUAGGUUAAGAGCGCAAACCAAACUUACCAGAAGGGAAAUUGAUGCUUGGUUUACAGAGAAGAAGAAAUCAAAAGCUUUAAAGGAAGAGAAAGGAGAAAUAGAGGAAAGCAAUGCAGGUAGUUCCAAAGAAGAAACCGGAGAAACUUCUCCUGGAGAUGAGUCUAGUGCACCUAAGUCAGGGAGUACGGGCAAAAUAUGUAAAAAAACACCCGAGCAGUUGCACAUGCUUAAAAGCGCAUUUGUCCGAACACAGUGGCCGUCGCCAGAAGAGUAUGACAAGUUGGCUGAAGAAAGUGGGCUUGCUAGAACAGACAUAGUUAGUUGGUUUGGGGACACCCGUUAUGCUUGGAAAAAUGGAAACUUAAAAUGGUACUACUACUAUCAAAGCGCCAAUUCAAGCAGUAUGAAUGGUCUGUCUUCUCUUAGAAAAAGGGGGAGAGGGAGACCCAAAGGAAGGGGAAGAGGAAGACCUCGCGGGCGGCCCAGAGGAAGCAAGAGAAUGAACAACUGGGACAGGGGGCCGUCCCUCAUCAAAUUUAAAACUGGAACUGCAAUACUUAAGGAUUAUUACCUGAAGCACAAAUUUCUUAAUGAGCAAGACCUCGAUGAACUUGUUAACAAAUCACAUAUGGGCUACGAGCAGGUCAGAGAAUGGUUUGCUGAAAGACAGAGAAGAUCAGAGUUAGGUAUAGAAUUAUUUGAGGAAAAUGAGGAGGAAGAUGAAGUUAUUGAUGAUCAGGAAGAGGAUGAAGAAGAAACAGAUGACAGUGACACUUGGGAACCCCCACGACAUGUGAAGCGGAAGCUUUCUAAAUCAGAUGACUGAAAUGAAAGAAUUCAAAAACGAAAACUAAAAAGAAGGGGAAAAGUAUACCGAAGGAAAGACUUACCACAGGGGUGAAGAUUGCUCAGUUUUAGGAAACUAGUCCAAAAGCACCUUGUUGUCAGAAAUCACUGCAGUGUUCUGAAACAGCAGGGGAGGAAAAGAGGCUUAGACCCUCAUCAUCUGCCUAAAACGUUGGAGGAGAAUCAAUUCUUCAACUCCAGAUGUCUGGUUUACUGUGAAUGGGCUCAAUCUUUGAUGACACUGAAAACGUUUGGGGGCAUACACAAUCUCAAAAAAUAGGAUCCAAUACCCAAAAACAGUGGGACUCAAUGUUGUGUCAAAGUUAAACUGCUGCAGACGGCAGAAGUCCUGCAGCGCACACAGGACACUAAUUAAAACAACUUGUAAGCAGUCACAUUUCAAUGAAGUGCAUUUUUAUUCUGAUAUGAUGGAGACAUUCUGAUUCUUAGACUUUCUGAGGGGGUUUAAUGACCACUAGAGCUUGUCCUCAUAUUCUGUUCAGCUUAAUACUGUAUGUCUUGUAAGAUGGGCCUUAUUGCCUGUAUUCUUUGAUAUAUGAUUAAGAUUAUAGCUUUGAGUGACCAAACAUUUUACAGAGUAAAACUUGUUUGAAGCAGGAAAAAGAAAAAUCUGAUUUAUUUCUAUGUCUCAUUUCUCAGGCCCUGCACUAAGAUUAAGGAGUUGUGCGUGGGUUUAUGUAAUUACAGCGUAAGUGAAAAACAGGCUUUGGACAUAUUGGAGCAAGAAGGUUUUGUGGUAUCAUUGGCGCUUAAUUUAAUGAUUGGAUCUUUCAUUGAACACAUUCAUGGAUACCACUAUUACUACUUGUAAUACUCUGUUACUUUUUUUCAUUAGAAAUUGAAUUAGCUUUUUCUUAAACCGAACAUAAUCAGUACUGAAAAAGGGAAAGAAACUGGCAUAAGAAUUUGGAUAGGGUGAAACUCUGAAAUAAAUAUUGUACCAAAAAUGUGAAAAAGAACCAUGUAGUAAAUAUUAACUUAGUGUUUUCUUACAAUCGUAUAGAAAUCAGAAAUUUUGUACAGGUGACAGAUCAGAAUUUUCAAGAAUUAUCUUUUGGUGAAAUUCUACUUUGUGUAACAACUUCAAUGAAUAAAGAAAAAAAUUCUGAACUGAUCAGAAUGAGGUAAAACUUAGCUUCUCACUUAUGAACAUGGCAGUGUUCACUGUUAACUCUUGCCAUUUCAGGAGACUGAAAGUUCCUCCUAACUCAAACUUUGUAAAGACCGGUGCUGUUCAUUCGUGUUGAGAAGGACCCUUUCCUUUGUGACUACAGGACCAUUUUUCAAAAUGUGCUUUCUUCAUAGAAGAAAUGUUCAGUUUCAUUAGCUUUGGAUUUUAAAAUGUUUUUCUGAAUGACCAGAUGUAGUGGGCUUGGCCAGUUUAUUUUAUCUAAUUUAAUGAAUAAUAAAUAUUAAGCUCUUGUUUUUACCUAAAUGUCAUCUAAUGAAAAUGUUAUUAAAAAGCCUUGACUAUGCAUGCUGCUUUCAUUUUUAUAAACUUUUCAUUUUUUAACUAUAGCUUUAUUAGUAAUUCCAAAAUGCUGCAAUUUAGCUUAUUUCUUCAUUCAAACAGCUGGCUUUGUGGGUGGCUUUUUCAUACUACUGUUAACUUUUUUUAAGAGAAGCAAUGUAAAGACAGUAACGAUUUAAUGCACUAAACUGUUCUUUCUUUUACACGUUUAAAAACUUCUUAAAGCACUCUGUAUUAUAAUGAUUAAAUUGCUCCCUUUUUUAAAUCAUUGCUAAUGUGGUCUGAGUUUUGUUUGACAAUAAUUUUAAUGUUUUCAAAAUUUGAAAUGUCAAGUAUUGGAAAUGAAACCUUUGAAUAUAUUUAUAUUAUGUUUCCCUUGCAAUAUGUUAACUUUGUAUAACUGUAAAUAACUAUUAGUAAUUUUUCCCCAGUCUCUGAAGACUUGACACUGAAAUCUGCUCUGAUGUUUGCUAGCUUUUAAAUAUAUUUAUUUGACAGAGCAAAGAACCCUCUUCUCCUGGUUAACUGUGUCCUUGAAUACAAAAUAAAAGUUAGCAGUGA